GACGAACGCUGGCGGCGUGCUUAACACAUGCAAGUCGAACGGUGAAGCGCCUUCCUUUUUGGUUGGUGUGGAUGAGUGGCGAACGGGUGAGUAACACGUGAGUAACCUGCCCCUUUCUUCUGGAUAACCACAUUAAAGUGUGUCUAAUACGGGAUAUUCUGGGUCUGUCGCAUGAUGGGUCUGGGAAAGUUUUUGUUUCUGUGGGGGAUGGGCUCGCGGCCUAUCAGCUUGUUGGUGAGGUGAUGGCCUACUGUGGCGGUGACGGGUAGCCGGGCUGAGAGGCCGAACGGUGACAUUGGGAAUGAGACGCGGAACCGACUCCUACGGGAGGCAGCAGUGGUGAAUAUUGCACAGUGGGGGGUAGACUGAUGCAACGGCGACGCGUAAGGGAUGGAGCACUUGGGGUUGUGAGCCUCUUGCGACAGUGAAGCAGGCCUGACUGGUUUGUGAAUGGGUUGACGGUAACUAGAUAAGAAGCGCCGGCUAACUCCGUG
Molecule: ribosomal RNA, 494 nt
Filed under: uncultured bacterium
Lineage: Bacteria
Description: partial 16S ribosomal RNA
Rfam family: Bacterial small subunit ribosomal RNA
Source: RNAcentral